Molecule: non-coding RNA, 91 nt
Organism: Mycena rebaudengoi
Lineage: Eukaryota; Fungi; Basidiomycota; Agaricomycetes; Agaricales; Mycenaceae
Source: the annotation of a GenBank genome assembly
GGCCUGGUGGCACAGCGUUAGUGCACCUGUAUAUAAUCAAAGUUGCGAACAGUUUAUGCAGAUGAUGCUGGUUCGAGUCCGGCUUGGGUCC